This 255-nucleotide ribosomal RNA is filed under the name uncultured bacterium. RNAcentral describes it as "partial 16S ribosomal RNA". It matches the Rfam family "Bacterial small subunit ribosomal RNA", at positions 524 to 776 of the family's 1533-position model. The record is from RNAcentral.
UACAGAGGGUGCGAGCGUUGUCCGGAAUCACUGGGCGUAAAGCGCGCGUAGGCGGCUUUGCAAGUCGGGGUGUGAAAUCCCCCAGGCUUAACCUGGGAACUGCAUUCGAGACUGCAUUGCUAGAGUAUGGGAGAGGGAAGUGGAAUUUCAGGUGUAGCGGUGAAAUGCGUAGAUAUCUGAAGGAACAUCAGUGGCGAAAGCGACUUCCUGGACCAAUACUGACGCUCAUGUGCGAAAGCGUGGGGAGCAAACAGG